RNAcentral lists this long non-coding RNA (302 nucleotides) under Cavia porcellus (domestic guinea pig). Its description in RNAcentral is "lncRNA (ENSCPOG00000033647.1)". The record is from RNAcentral. Lineage: Eukaryota; Metazoa; Chordata; Mammalia; Rodentia; Caviidae.
AAUAGCCCUGCCUUUGCACAGGAGAGAGAAAAAGUAAGCAAGCAAACAGUCACACAACAGCAAGAAUACCAGGGCCAUGAAGAGGAAGUGAGGGAGGCUGCCAUUCUAGAAAGGGCAGCAGGGGCUGUGGAAGGUGGAGAGUGCGACUCAAGGAGCAUCAUGGGAGAAAAAGAGAGUGUUGCUCAAAAGCCAAGCAGCCGGAGCUGAGCAGAGGCUCUUUUUGGAAACUUCGUUGGAUACUCAGCACACAAUCAUCGCCUACUUCGGACAAGACUCUGGGGCAGAUGAGUAAAGGGGCAUGA